CUGAAUAUAGUAUACAAAAGAUUCAAUAGAAGUUAUAAUUUCAUAAAAUGAUAAUGCUGUUACGUCAUAGUAGAACGAUAGCUAUAACCUAACAAUUUUAAGUGGAACAUUUUAAAACAGAUUCGCGACCGCACGAAGCAUGAAAGUGCAACGCGUUGAUGCGUUAAUGAAGUUAUUACUUCUGCCUCGUGUAACUAGUUUACCGUGCACUGUGAUUCUGCUGACACAGCCAAUUAUCGAGCGUUGCAAUUAUACCGAAUCGAUAAUUUCAACCAGCCCACGAUUCAGUGGCGCUUCCUGAAACGUAAAGUUCCCAGUUCAACCGGAAGUUCUGCUCGGUUCUGAAACCUAAGUUGACCCCUCACUUUCUACCCGUCACGUCGACGCCAACUUUUGGUCACAGUGUAAUUAAAGCGAAUAAAUCGAUGUCACGAUUACCACAUCUCUCUUUCUGGAAAGAUCGUGUCACACGGUGCAUUUCAUUAGAAAUUCCCAUUCUGAUACACUUUCAACCGGUUAAAUUAUUUAAAUUUCUGUUGAGUUUGAAUUCAUACCUUUGAACAAACAUAAUUUUUAUAUACACGAAAAGAUACAGCUAAACCAAACCGUACUCGUUACAUAUUCUACAUACUAUUUUUAUAAUGCAAAUACACGAAAUGUCUCUAAGAAAUACAAUAACGUACAAGAUUUUUACGUUUUCUAAUGAAUUUAUGGUAUAACACAACAGGAAAACGAUUUUAUUUUCUUUCAGUAAAAUUGUAGACGCGGGACAAAUAGAAAGGUGGAAUAUAAAACGGAGUGAACGGAAAAAUUUGAUGGAGAAAUUUUACGACGUAGAUGACGCUUUGAAUCGUGGCAGAGAUAUACGGCAACAAUGUUGGUAUCGACGACCGCGAAGCUUUGUGAAGCCGGCAUGCAAAAUGACCAACAAAAUCGCUUUAAUCUCGCCCCUUUCUUUUUUCUUUACCGAAACACGCUGCGAUGCAGCAACUAAGUUUUUAGUUCCCUCUAUGAGCUACUGAGCACAUUCGUUCACUCAGGACAAAAGAGUUUCAAGGCAUAUCAUUGAAAGAUAAAGCGGCGUGCCACGCUGAAAAGGGAGCCACACAUGAAACGAAAGAAUGGCACUUUGCACAGCAAAAUGGGACGGGUACGAGACCAUGAAUAUUUCCAGUAGGAAAUAUUUAGAACCGUAUUAGGAACCGUAAAGAAAUUAUUAGAUCCCCCGAAAAGUUUGUAACAUUUUUAACAGUGGAUACAUUUCAGUAUUUGGUAGGGUUGGAUGAGGAUUUAUCACGAAUUUCUACUAAAUAUCGAAAUUCUAAGUUUGGAAAAAUACCAGUUCUGUUUCGAAGGAGGAACUGGAAUUGAUUAACGUUAGCCAUUUGAACCAUCCAAUCGAA
Bombus pascuorum is the source of this 1403-nucleotide long non-coding RNA. RefSeq lists it as uncharacterized. Lineage: Eukaryota; Metazoa; Arthropoda; Insecta; Hymenoptera; Apidae. The transcript has 2 exons. The record is from RefSeq and is a predicted model, not a curated record.